AUUGAACGCUGGCGGCAGGCUUAACACAUGCAAGUCGAGCGGGGGAAGGUAGCUUGCUACCGGACCUAGCGGCGGACGGGUGAGUAAUGCUUAGGAAUCUGCCUAUUAGUGGGGGACAACAUCUCGAAAGGGAUGCUAAUACCGCAUACGUCCUAAGGGAGACAGCAGGGGAUCUUCGGACCUUGCGCUAAUAGAUGAGCCUAAGUCGGAUUAGCUAGUUGGUGGGGUAAAGGCCUACCAAGGCGACGAUCUGUAGCGGGUCUGAGAGGAUGAUCCGCCACACUGGGACUGAGACACGGCCCAGACUCCUACGGGAGGCAGCAGUGGGGAAUAUUGGACAAUGGGGGGGACCCUGAUCCAGCCAUGCCGCGUGUGUGAAGAAGGCCUUAUGGUUGUAAAGCACUUUAAGCGAGGAGGAGGCUACUCUAGUUAAUACCUAGGGAUAGUGGACGUUACUCGCAGAAUAAGCACCGGCUAACUCUGUGCCAGCAGCCGCGGUAA
Molecule: ribosomal RNA, 501 nt
Filed under: uncultured bacterium
Lineage: Bacteria
Description: partial 16S ribosomal RNA
Rfam family: Bacterial small subunit ribosomal RNA
Source: RNAcentral